This 251-nucleotide ribosomal RNA is filed under the name uncultured bacterium. RNAcentral describes it as "partial 16S ribosomal RNA". It matches the Rfam family "Bacterial small subunit ribosomal RNA", at positions 524 to 765 of the family's 1533-position model. The record is from RNAcentral.
UACGAAGGGGGGCUAGCGUUGCUCGGAAUGACUGGGCGUAAAGGGCGCGUAGGCGGUAUGGCACAGUCAGACUGUGAAAUUCCCGGGCUUGAACCUGGGGGGCUGACAUUUGAUACGUGUGAUCUAGAGUGAGGAAGAGGGUCGUGGAAUUCCCAGUGUAGAGGUGAAAUUCGGUAGAUAUUCGCAGGAACACCAGUGGCGAAGGCGGCUUACUGGUCCAUAACUGACGCUGGAGGUGACGAAAGCGUGGG